AAAGUGUUGUGGCUAAUUAGAAUUAGAAAAUAUCUAUAAAUCUAUAUGAAGUCACAAUAUUUUUUGCCAUGUGGUAUGUUAUCUUUCAUUCUCAUAGUUAAACUUUAAAUUAAACCACCUUUUCCUCUUCUCGACGCCCAACUCUUCAUCUUCCCACUCCUCUAAUUAUAUGUAAGGUGCAAUAUUUAAUUACAUGCACCAUAUUAAUAUUUUAUUAAUAAGUGAGCUUUAUAACUUCUAACUAUAAUUUUAUUUUUUUAACAGUUGAAUUUAGUCAUGCAAAUUGGUUGUACUUAAUAUGGUAUAGCUUUCUAUAUAUUAAUAAGCUGUAAAUAUAAAUUUUAUUAAAAUUUUAAAAUUUUGCUUUUAGUAUUUACUUGCUGUAUCGUGCGGGUCUUUACACUAGUAUUAAAUAAGUUUUGAAAACAAAUGAUCGAAUU
This 440-nucleotide long non-coding RNA is filed under the name Ananas comosus (pineapple). RNAcentral's name for it is "long non-coding RNA (ACOM_LNC024795)". The record is from RNAcentral. Lineage: Eukaryota; Viridiplantae; Streptophyta; Magnoliopsida; Poales; Bromeliaceae.